RNAcentral lists this ribosomal RNA (186 nucleotides) under uncultured rumen bacterium. RNAcentral's name for it is "partial 16S ribosomal RNA". It matches the Rfam family "Bacterial small subunit ribosomal RNA", at positions 340 to 524 of the family's 1533-position model. The record is from RNAcentral.
UACGGAGGCAGCAGUGAGGAAUAUUGGUCAAUGGUCGAGAGACUGAACCAGCCAAGUAGCGUGCAGGAUGACGGCCCUAUGGGUUGUAAACUGCUUUUAUGCGGGGAUAAAGUGCGGCACGUGUGCCGUUUUGUAGGUACCGCAUGAAUAAGGACCGGCUAAUUCCGUGCCAGCAGCCGCGGUAAU